This is an RNA transcript of Athalia rosae (coleseed sawfly), 1626 nucleotides long. RefSeq lists it as uncharacterized. The record is from RefSeq and is a predicted model, not a curated record. NCBI's taxonomy places the organism in Eukaryota, Metazoa, Arthropoda, Insecta, Hymenoptera, Athaliidae. The transcript has 4 exons.
UGCAGAGAGUCUCGCAAUAAAGUCGUAAGAAGUCUUGGUCGUGAGGUUCGACGCGGGGCAAAAUCGUAGAUAUGGCUGAUUUUCGAGUCGCCGGGGCGAAAAUUGGACGUCGAAAAAUGAAUUUUGGUAUCAGGAGAAUAUGAUGAGCAAGGAGCCAGGGAAUCAGGAGACUAUACGCAAACGUUAGUAACUCGUCGAAAAAAAAAAAAAAGACGGGCGAAGCGUCCCAUUGGUUGCUCGGCGCCAUCAUGCUUUUUGGCGCCUGGAACCAAUAGGAAGCCGCGAAAAAGCUCGGAGCAAACUCGUCUCCUAUUUCGACGAGUUACUAACGUUUGCGCAUCAUCCCCCAAUUUCAAAAUGGACCCCGCCGCCGGAUUGAACAUGAAUCAAAUUGGCAGAGCAGAUGUUAAUUUAAACGGGUUAAUUAAUAGUAUAUUCGGACGAAUAAAGAUUUUUUAUACAGCAGUGCAUUGAGUGAGUCUUGCGAAAUUGUUCAGCAUAUGAAUUAAUAAUUGAUUUGUUUUCAGGAAUAGUUUGAAAAUCAACGGUAUGGCACUGCGAGUAUAUCACGUUAUUUUGCGAAUGCUCAACCUAUACUCUAACGAUUGUAUGACAGCUCCCAGGCGAUUGCACCAGAUGAGAUUCCUAUGCGUGCUGACACUCAAUUAUACAAUUAGUAAAGUGAAUACUACUGGAAGUAAAUGUCACCAUUUCGGAGUAAAAGAAUCAAAGUGCUACCUCAAGAGCAGAGGGGCUAGACUGACAGCUAGAACAUUGGAUUCAAUCUAGAGAAAAGUCUUAUCAUACUUGGUCGAACUGUAUUUUUCCCAGAGGAGAAUGAAAAGCUGAAACGACGGAGUCCUUGCGGUAUACGUCAGAUGUUAUUAUUACACCCCUGUGUACCUUGGCAAAAAGUCAGUGCCAGUGUGUCGCUGGGCAAGGUACAGCUGCCCACCGCAAGCAUGUUGUUGCUCUGCUUUUGGAAACGACACAGAGAGUUUGAGGAAGAGGAGAUACAUGUAUCAUUUCAAGAACCGCAGUCAUUCCACAACCCAUGGUUAUGGAAUGCAAAUCAGUUGGAAAAACUUGGAGGCCUAUACAAGAAGAAUUAUAACCACGGGAUCCAAAAUGCGUGCAUCAACUUGCAUAGAUCUUAUAACUUUCAAGCAUACUAUUAUGUCGGUCAACGCAUUUCAAAUUAUUUUCAAAUUUUCGAUCAAAUAAUUAGCAAUAACUCGAUCAAUUUCAUAGAUGAAAUUAUUCUGCUUGCAGAUUCGGAUUCCUGAGAUCAAAAUACAUCAGAAUAGCAUGAGGAGCCCUUCGAAAAAAAUCGGAAUCUUCAUCUCAGAUAUUGAGAAAAUCCCAAGGCUGUAGGCUUACUGUUUUUUUCGGCAAAGAAGUGAAAGAUUGCCCAGAAUAAUUCCAGGACGCUUUUUUCACAUCAAAGAGGGUAUCGAACACGAACCCGUCAAUCAAAUGGAGCCAGCAUUGAAUCCCAUUGAGAUAUUCUUGAUUUUUCACUUUUUCAAUCGAUUAAUUGGCGAUAACUCGAUCAAUUUCAUAGAUGGAAUUAUUUUGCUUGCAGAUUCGGAUUCCUGAGAUCAAAAUAUAUGAGGAUAGCGUAAG